GGGCCGAUCAGCUCAGUCAGUUGAGCAUGGCGCUGAGAACGCCAAGGCUGCGUGUUCAAUUCCCCUUUGGUCCC
This 74-nucleotide transfer RNA is filed under the name Apaloderma vittatum (bar-tailed trogon). It matches the Rfam family "tRNA". Rfam says of the family: Transfer RNA (tRNA) molecules are approximately 80 nucleotides in length. The record is from Rfam by way of RNAcentral. Lineage: Eukaryota; Metazoa; Chordata; Aves; Trogoniformes; Trogonidae.